This 425-nucleotide ribosomal RNA is filed under the name bacterium. RNAcentral's name for it is "partial 16S ribosomal RNA". It matches the Rfam family "Bacterial small subunit ribosomal RNA", at positions 355 to 776 of the family's 1533-position model. The record is from RNAcentral.
UGGGGAAUAUUGCACAAUGGGCGCAAGCCUGAUGCAGCGACGCCGCGUGAGGGAUGGAGGCCUUCGGGUUGUAAACCUCUUUCGCCAGUGAAGCAGGCCAUCUUCUUUGUGGGGUGGUUGACGGUAGCUGGAUAAGAAGCGCCGGCUAACUACGUGCCAGCAGCCGCGGUAAUACGUAGGGCGCGAGCGUUGUCCGGAAUUAUUGGGCGUAAAGAGCUCGUAGGCGGCUGGUCGCGUCUGUCGUGAAAUCCCCUGGCUUAACUGGGGGCUUGCGGUGGGUACGGGCCGGCUUGAGUGCGGUGGGGGAGACUGGAAUGCCUGGUGUAGCGGAGGAAUGCGCAGAUAUCAGGAGGAACACCGGUGGAGAAGGCGGGUCUCUGGGCCGUUACUGACGCUGAGGAGCGAAAGCGUGGGGAGCGAACAGG